GAAACCUUGUUAAAAAGGCUCUUGCA
Molecule: unclassified non-coding RNA, 26 nt
Filed under: Mus musculus (house mouse)
Lineage: Eukaryota; Metazoa; Chordata; Mammalia; Rodentia; Muridae
Description: oocyte_clustered_small_RNA2195
Source: RNAcentral